Non-coding RNA from Petromyzon marinus (sea lamprey), 359 nucleotides. NCBI's taxonomy places the organism in Eukaryota, Metazoa, Chordata, Hyperoartia, Petromyzontiformes, Petromyzontidae. The record is from RefSeq and is a predicted model, not a curated record.
UAACGUGUGAAUACUUUUGAUUAUGAUUAUGCAAUGUGCAGCAGUAAUAUUGUAUGUUUUCAUAUUAUGUGUUUUCACAGUUGAGUGCACGCAGUGCUUCAGCAUCUCAGACACGUUGGACGCUUGCCUUGACAUCUCUCUUAAUAUCAACAAAUCCCUGGUGAAGGCUUUUUAUGAAUUCACAAAGACCGAGAAUCUUGCAGAAUACAGAUGUGGAAUGUGAGUAUGCAAUCUUCCAUCGUGCACCUUGAAACGUUCGUGUAUAUCCCCAUUUAUACAGUGUGUGAUCAAACACGCACCUCGUCCGUAAACUAACGUUGCUAUUGUCUGGCGAACAGGUGCUCACGCGUGGGGAAAUC